This 490-nucleotide ribosomal RNA is filed under the name uncultured bacterium. RNAcentral's name for it is "partial 16S ribosomal RNA". It matches the Rfam family "Bacterial small subunit ribosomal RNA", at positions 30 to 507 of the family's 1533-position model. The record is from RNAcentral.
AUUGAACGCUGGCGGCAGGCCUAACACAUGCAAGUCGAACGGUAACAGGGAUCAGCUUGCUGAUUCGCUGACGAGUGGCGGACGGGUGAGUAAUGUCUGGGAAACUGCCUGAUGGAGGGGGAUAACUACUGGAAACGGUAGCUAAUACCGCAUAACGUCGCAAGACCAAAGAGGGGGACCUUCGGGCCUCUUGCCAUCGGAUGUGCCCAGAUGGGAUUAGCUAGUAGGUGGGGUAACGGCUCACCUAGGCGACGAUCCCUAGCUGGUCUGAGAGGAUGGCCAGCCACACUGGAACUGAGACACGGUCCAGACUCCUACGGGAGGCAGCAGUGGGGAAUAUUGCACAAUGGGCGCAAGCCUGAUGCAGCCAUGCCGCGUGUAUGAAGAAGGCCUUCGGGUUGUAAAGUACUUUCAGCGGGGAGGAAGGGAGUAAAGUUAAUACCUUUGCUCAUUGACGUUACCCGCAGAAGAAGCACCGGCUAACUCCGUG